Molecule: ribosomal RNA, 1358 nt
Filed under: uncultured marine eukaryote
Lineage: Eukaryota
Description: SSU rRNA
Rfam family: Eukaryotic small subunit ribosomal RNA
Source: RNAcentral
CACAUCUAAGGAAGGCAGCAGGCGCGCAAAUUACCCAAUCCUGACGCAGGGAGGUAGUGACAAGAAAUAACAAAGCAAACUCUUUCUGAGCUUUGCUAUUGGAAUGAGUAGAAUUUAAAUCUCUUUACGACUAUCAAUUGGAGGGCAAGUCUGGUGCCAGCAGCCGCGGUAAUUCCAGCUCCAAUAGCGUAUACUAAAGUUGUUGCAGUUAAAAAGCUCGUAGUUGGAUUUCUGUGGGGACGGAGCGGCCGGCCGCAACACGCGGUUCGAGCUAGCGCUUUCCCUACAUCCUGCCGCGAACCGUGCUACCAUUAAUUUGGUGGCGCCGGGGAUCGGCUCGAUUACUUUGAGAAAAAUAGAGUGUUCAAAGCAGGCCACAUGCCUUGAAUAAGUUAGCAUGGAAUAAUAACUAAGGACUUCGGUUCUAUUUUGUUGGUGUUCGGGACUGAAGUAAUGAUUGAUAGGGACAGUUGGGGCGGUCUGUAUUCCAAAGCGAGAGGUGAAAUUCUUAGACCUUCGGAAGACAAACAGCUGCGAAAGCGUUUCGCAAGGAUGUUCCCUUUGAUCAAGAACGAAAGUUGGGGGAUCGAAGACGAUCAGAUACCGUCGUAGUCUCAACUAUAAACUAUACCAGCUAGGGAUCGGCCAACGUUAUUUUAUACCGACUUGGUCGGCACCUUAUGAGAAAUCAAAGCAUCUGGGUUCCGGGGGGAGUAUGGUCGCAAGGCUGAAACUUAAAGGAAUUGACGGAAGGGCACCACCAGCCGUGGAGCCUGUGGCUUAAUUUGACUCAACACGGGAAAACUUACCAGGUCCAGACAUAGUAAGGAUUGACAGAUUGAUAGCUCUUUCUUGAUUCUGUGGGUGGUGGUGCAUGGCCGUUCUUAGUUGGUGGAGUGAUUUGUCUGGUUAAUUCCGUUAACGAACGAGACCCCAGCCUGCUAAAUAGCGCGCGUGAGCUUUGCUCGCGGCGAGCUUCUUAGAGGGACUAUGAUGCGCGAUAGCACAUGGAAGUUUGGGGCAAUAACAGGUCUGUGAUGCCCUUAGAUGUUCUGGGCCGCACACGGGCUACACUGGCGCCUGCAACGAGCAUAUCAGCUGGCCCGAGAGGGUCUUGGCUAAUCUUUUGAACCGGCGCCGUGCUUGGGAUUGACCUUUGCAAUUGUUGGUCAUGCAACGAGGAAUGCCUUGUAAACGCGAGUCAUCAGCUCGCAUUGAAUACGUCCCUGCCCUUUGUACACACCGCCCGUCGCUCCUACCGAUGAAUGUUCCGAUGAAAUUUUCGGAGAGCACCUGUGAACUUGGCUCUGCCUUGCGAACGGGAAGCUCAAAGUCACUUAAAUCUGAACAUUUCGAGG